AGCGAACGCUGGCGGCAGGCCUAACACAUGCAAGUCGAACGAACUCUUCGGAGUUAGUGGCGGACGGGUGAGUAACACGUGGGAACGUGCCUUUUGGUUCGGAAUAACUCAGGGAAACUUGUGCUAAUACCGAAUGUGCCCCUCGGGGGAAAGAUUUAUCGCCAUUAGAGCGGCCCGCGUCUGAUUAGCUAGUUGGUGAGGUAACGGCGCACCAAGGCGACGCUCAGUAGCUGGUCUGAGAGGAUGACCAGCCACACUGGGACUGAGACACGGCGCAGACUCCUACGGGAGGCAGCAGUGGGGAAUCUUGCGCAAUGGGGGAAAGCCUGACGCAGCCAUGCCGCGUGAAUGAUGAAGGUCUGAGGAUUGUAAAAUUCUUUCACCGGGGACGAUAAUGACGGUACCCGGAGAAGAAGCCCCGGCUAACUUCGUG
RNAcentral lists this ribosomal RNA (433 nucleotides) under uncultured bacterium. RNAcentral's name for it is "partial 16S ribosomal RNA". It matches the Rfam family "Bacterial small subunit ribosomal RNA", at positions 29 to 507 of the family's 1533-position model. The record is from RNAcentral.